RNAcentral lists this ribosomal RNA (255 nucleotides) under uncultured bacterium. RNAcentral's name for it is "partial 16S ribosomal RNA". It matches the Rfam family "Bacterial small subunit ribosomal RNA", at positions 524 to 776 of the family's 1533-position model. The record is from RNAcentral.
UACGUAGGGUGCGAGCGUUGUCCGGAAUUACUGGGCGUAAAGAGUUCGUAGGCGGUUUGUCGCGUCGUUCGUGAAAACUUGGGGCUUAACUCCAAGCGUGCGGGCGAUACGGGCAGACUUGAGUACUACAGGGGAGACUGGAAUUCCUGGUGUAGCGGUGGAAUGCGCAGAUAUCAGGAGGAACACCGGUGGCGAAGGCGGCUCUCUGGGACGGUACUGACGCUGAGACGCGAAAAGCGUGGGGGAGCAAACAGG